AAUAAGUCCAUGCAGCGAAGGAAGUGAACAAUUGUGGGACCGUAUUUGGGCUGAAAAUGGGUGUGGUACGGAAACCCAGAAAUAGCAUGAGUUCAACAUAAAACAGGAAUUAGAAUUUUAGUGGGGGAUCAAGUCAAGUCUGGAAGUGUUACAGGAUGGAAGAGUGAGCCUACAGUUGAAAAACACUGAAAGUGCAUUACCAUUAAGGUAUAAGGUAAAGUAAUAGAGUAUGCACAUUGUCUAAUGAGAAGUACCAUCUUGUGUGAAUGAAUCCUGUGUAACAGCAAUCCUUUAUAGUUCUGUCACAGCUAGAAGCCUCAAAUAAUUUUGCUUCUCUUGCUAAAGAACAACUUGUCCUUUACGUUCAGAGUGUUGGUGAAGCUGGGUACUUAAAUGGCCCUAAAGAUGUUUCAUUGCGUUGGCAUUGCAGCGAUGAACAUCAUACAUGGACUCUUUAGGAAAUGAUUUUCAUGUACUAGGAACACAACUAUCAAAAAUGCAACAUUCUAGGGGUGCUAUUUUAUCAUUCAAGAGCCUUAUACAAUGAUUUUCAUCUGCAAUUUGUAUGGCCUUUCCCAAGCUUCUGCCAGAAGUUGAAUCUAUAAGUCAUGUAAGUCACAUGAGCAACAAUUGAGAUGCUUAAUGGUGUUGUUUUUCUUUUCUCAAUAUAGGUUAAUAGUAACAUUGGAUCUGAAAAGAUUCUUGGUUGGGGCAAGACACUGAAUAAAUUGUAUUGAUUGGAUGGAUGACAUGACAUUUCUAUACUUAAUUCGGAUUCCCCAGACGGUAUUUGAUAUUUAAAAAAUUGAAGUGCAUAUCUGGGCUCCCUUCUUUUCUGAAGCCCCGUUUCCCCUUGACUCGUAAUAAGCCCGUAGGGGGUCAUGCCCCUAC
This is a long non-coding RNA of Daphnia carinata, 891 nucleotides long. RefSeq lists it as uncharacterized. The transcript is spliced from 3 exons. The record is from RefSeq and is a predicted model, not a curated record. NCBI's taxonomy places the organism in Eukaryota, Metazoa, Arthropoda, Branchiopoda, Diplostraca, Daphniidae.